Molecule: ribosomal RNA, 783 nt
Filed under: uncultured Neocallimastigales
Lineage: Eukaryota; Fungi; Neocallimastigomycota; Neocallimastigomycetes; Neocallimastigales
Description: partial large subunit ribosomal RNA
Rfam family: Eukaryotic large subunit ribosomal RNA
Source: RNAcentral
CGUCUAUAUACGUAUAGCAUAUCAAUAAGCGGAGGAAAAGAAACUAACAAGGAUUCCCUAGUAACGGCAAGUGAAGCGGGAAGAGCUCAAAUUUGAAAUCUUCAAGGUUCUACCUUGACGAAUUGUAGUUUAUAAGAAGUGUUUUCUGUUAGUGGAGUCUGGCUAAAAGUUCUUUGGAAUAGGACAUCAUAGAGGGUGAGAAUCCCGUAUUUGAUCAUUCCUUCCUAGCUUUGUGAUACACUUUCAACGAGUCGGAUUGUUUGGGAAUGCAGUCCAAAAUGGGUGGUAAAUUUCAUCUAAAGCUAAAUAUUGGCGAGAGACCGAUAGCGAACAAGUACCUGUGAGGGAAAGAUGAAAAGAACUUUGAAAAGAGAGUUAAACAGUACGUGAAAUUGUCAAAAGGGAAGCGUUUGACACCAGUGUUGUUUUUCCGAAAAUCAAUUACGAAUGUUUUGUUUUUGAGGAGUUAUGACUUCAUCGGCUUGCUCCUUUCUUUACUGAAACUUUCUUAAUGCACUUUUCGGUUAACAAGUCAACAUCAAUUUCUUUUGUUGUAAAAGGGUAUGAGGAAGGUGGCUUUCUUUUCGGAGAAAGUGUUUAUAGCCUUGUGCCUCUGCAAUCGGAGAGAUUGAGGUCUGCAGCGUAGAUCCUUCGGGGUUAGAUACAUUUGUGCUAAGUUAUAGCUUUUCAUAGACAACUUGUUGACUAUGUUUAGUCAUUGUAGGCUUACUCGCUGACUGCUAUUUUACCUACGCUUAGGAUGUUGACUGAUAUGUAGUCGUA